UUUUUUUCUCCUUCCUAUGCAUGCAUUUAUUUUAAUGAUUGAAACAAAUUGCUAUUAACUUGCUAUAUGUUUAUCAGCAUUGUCAAAUAGUGGCUACAACGUAAUAGAAUUUAAACAGACUACAGCUGUUCUGCGAUAUGCAAUUUAGUAAAAAGUGUUGUCAAAUAGUGGCUAUAGCGCUUUCGUGUAACAAACCAUCUUUCUUUUCGACGCGCUAUUGACAAUACCAAUACCUAUUUCAUUGAUUAAUCAUUUCUUGGCAGUUUUGUAGUUGGGUAGCUAGUGAUAAAUGAUAACAUGCUCCCUUGUUAACUAGUAUUGUUGUGUACUUUGUUGAGAGUUAUUCCUUUAACUACUAGUUAGUUGAUAUCAUCCUCAAUCAAUUUUUCUUGAUGUGUUUAUGCAGGUAUCAGCAAAGGCAAUAUAUGAAGCCAUUGAUAAGUACAAAGUGACUCAUUUUUGUGCAGCACCAGUGGUGCUUAACUCAAUACUUAAUGCCCCAGCUGAGGAAACCAUAUUUCCUCUACCUCAUGUUGUACACGUGAAUACAGCCGGAGCUGCUCCUCCUCCUUCUGUUCUUUCUGGCAUGUCUGAACGAGGAUUUCGUGUCACACACACUUAUGGUCUUUCAGAAACCUAUGGCCCGUCCAUUUAUUGUGCCUGGAAACCAGAGUGGGACUCACUUCCACCAGAAUCUCGAGCCCGUCUCCACGCAAGACAAGGAGUUAGGUACAUUGCCUUAGAAGGCCUAGACAUUGUGAACACAGAAACAAUGCAACCUGUUCCUGCUGAUGCAGGUAUCAGCAAAGGCAAUAUAUGAAGCCAUUGAUAAGUACAAAGUGACUCAUUUUUGUGCAGCACCAGUGGUGCUUAACUCAAUACUUAAUGCCCCAGCUGAGGAAACCAUAUUUCCUCUACCUCAUGUUGUACACGUGAAUACAGCCGGAGCUGCUCCUCCUCCUUCUGUUCUUUCUGGCAUGUCUGAACGAGGAUUUCGUGUCACACACACUUAUG
Molecule: long non-coding RNA, 1014 nt
Filed under: Cicer arietinum (chickpea)
Lineage: Eukaryota; Viridiplantae; Streptophyta; Magnoliopsida; Fabales; Fabaceae
Description: long non-coding RNA (CARI_LNC002194)
Source: RNAcentral